This is a long non-coding RNA of Hippocampus comes (tiger tail seahorse), 622 nucleotides long. RefSeq lists it as uncharacterized. The transcript has 2 exons. Lineage: Eukaryota; Metazoa; Chordata; Actinopteri; Syngnathiformes; Syngnathidae. The record is from RefSeq and is a predicted model, not a curated record.
ACAUCAUUUCACUAAGGUGGCAAAAGUGCUCAUGUCCUACACUAAAGUAGAAGUCAAACCAAAAAAAAAAAUAAAAUAAAUGGUAAAGGUAGAAGUCCAGUAGAAGUCCAGUUAACCCCAGAAACCAGCGAUCGCUGGUUUUUAAAAAGGUUUUUAAUUGCCUAUAGAUGCCACAAAUGGCAGCAAAGCACUACUUAUGUCUAAAUGAAACUCAUCAAUUUGCGUCAAUUUAUACUGCUUUUACAUCAAGAUACCACCAGAUGGUGCCAAAGUAAUAAAACUGCUUCGUCCUGAGAACAGGGACGGCUAAGCGUUUGAGUAAUACAGAAUAGGUCUGGAAACAUUCCUUGAAGGGGCGAGUCUCCAAAUGUCGAACCUCAAACAUGUUGUGGUUGACUGUACUGAUUGAACACCUUAAUUGAAGUAAGAGCAAAAAAGAACAGAGUUUUUUUUUUUUAAUGAAACAAUUCUCUAUAAACAAUCUUGCCUCUCCAAAUCAGUUGCGUCAUCAUUGUUAAUGCUGGCUGGUUCAUUGUGCUGCCUUAUAAGCCGCUUAUACGGAUCAAUUCAAAUCUUGCCUGCGGUUGACCUCAACUCACUCUGUUUAAGUUGUCGUCAUUGA